This is a long non-coding RNA of Pseudopipra pipra, 3476 nucleotides long. RefSeq lists it as uncharacterized. Lineage: Eukaryota; Metazoa; Chordata; Aves; Passeriformes; Pipridae. The record is from RefSeq and is a predicted model, not a curated record. The transcript has 4 exons.
UGUCCUUGUUGCCCCAGUAGGCCUUGUCCACCUCCCCAUCUUCCAGGGGCUAUACAUAUUAAAGUUUCAAAUGCUCUUCCUAAUCCUUUGUUGGCUUGAGGCUCUCCCCUCAGGAACUGCAGGAACUCCUGGUGCCGCCUGGGCCGAUGGAUUGGACGCCCCAGCCCCUCCGUUCCUGCCCAGCCCCUGGGGCCGUGUCCAGUGGUGGCACUGCCAGCCCUGCAGGGGAAGUGGGAAGGGCCUUUGCAGGUCUUGUGGGUCACAUUUACAGCAGUGGGAUGGAGCCUGGAAACUGCCCAGAGCUGAGCCCAGGGAUUGAAAGGGACCAACCAAGGGAGGUGAAGAAAGAAGGAAGAAGGGAAGUGAGGCAGCAGCCAAGCAGCACCAAGUUGCUGUGUAAGCAGGUGAGUUGUGUUGAGGUUCCUCAGGCAGGCACUGAGGACUUUGAGGGCUCCAGACAGAGAAGACCUGGGAAGGCCCUCGGUGAAGCCCCUCAGAGACCUUCUAAGGGUAGGUGUGUGUGGUGAUAAGUGUUGGGAUUGUCCUGAAUGUGGAACAGGAAUGCAGGGAAGCAAAAUGAACCCUCCUGUAAUGCUGCCAUAUCAGCUGCAGUGGAGACACCUGUGUGUGCCCUUUGGGAUCUGAUUGCCAGGACCCCCGUGGGGCUGGGAUCAUGGCAGGGUGUUGUAAGCAAGGAAUGCCUGGCUUGGAAAACUCACCAGCUGAGUCUCAGAGGCUUCUUUGAAGAGCUGAUUUCAGGCAGCAGAAUUGGCCCCCAGGAGGGACUCUGUGCCUGCUCUCCCGUGGCUCCAAGGGAUCUCUGGCCCUUCACGCCGGCACCGAGAUUUUCUCGGGAAGGGCCUCAGAUCCCCAGACCGGUCUGGGACGCAGGCAAGAUCCCCCUGCAUUUUGGGACCAAAUUGGGCCCCUGGAGGGACAGUGCUGUUGGUGCCCCCCGGGUUGGGGCACCCCGAGGACUCCAGCGCGCACCGAAAGGAUUAUUCGGGGAGAUCCUCGGGGUGCCCGGCCCUGGGGAGCUCAAAGCAAGGUCCCUGCAAUGGAUUCAGGCAUUGCUGAGAGUAUCCCAGGGGUCCCUGUCCCUGCUAGACAUGGAGCUCUCUAAUGGGCUGGAAUUGGGUGAUAAAAGUGGUGCUCCAAGUGCCAAAGAAGUGUGGGACUGGGAUUAAGAAAUGAGCAGUGAUGGUGCAAUUGGCUGUUUUCUCUUGAAUGUGACUGUGAGAGCUGCAGGAGUGCCAGGUGUGUGUUCCAGUCCCCAGCAUUUGGUUUGCACCUGUCCUGGUCAGACACAGGUCCAACUUGCUCAGUCCUUAACACAAGAGAGGGAGAAUUAAGGACUGGCACUGUUCAGGUGAUUGGUGUGACAGGGGUCAAACUGGGAAAACACUGGGGAAUUCCUCAGUUUGUCUGUUUGCCAAACUCACCCAAACCUGUGCUAGGAAGAGAGGGACUGGAAAAGUUGAGGCAGAAAUGAAAUGGAAAACUGGGGCUAUUGACACUGUAAUUGCUGAAACUAAAUGUGUCCAAGCAGCAGCUCUUGUUGUGCAGGGAAUAACUCCUGUCAGCAGCAAGGUCCCGACUGAAGUGGUAGCUGCAGUUGUUCCUGUUGUGUGGGCCAGUGGAAUUGCAGGAGAGUGGAAGAGGGCAGAACCUGUAGGUAUUACCCCUACUGUGGGAUCUCUCCUGGUAAGGCAAACCCAGUAUUCUUUAAAAUCAGAAUGCCAGACUGGAUUGGUUGCAGGAACAGCUGAAUUUGCUCCUCCUGGUUUGCUUGUAGAAGGUGAAUGCCAGAACCUGCCAAGAAACCAAUGGCCAAGGGGAUUGAUUAGUGCAGGACCUGAGAGAACCCCCUGAAAUGACAACCUGGAGUAGUUUCCAGGAUUAGAUUGCAAAGAUGGCAUUUGCUGCAUGUCCUUGAGCAAGGAAAGCCAAGAAACCUUUGCUUUUGCAGGAGAAAAUCUGGAAAGCGGGCAGGAAGAAGAGAAGCCCCCUGACUCCUCCCUGAGCCCCAGACAGCCCCUGAACUGCCUUGCUGGGAAUGGUGGGACGGGCUGGACUCUGGAUUGCUCGCUCUGGAUGUGUGGCUCUCCCCUCAGGAACUGCAGGAACUCCUGGUGCCGCCUGGGCCGAUGGAUUGGACGCCCCAGCCCCUCCGUUCCUGCCCAGCCCCUGGGGCCGUGUCCAGUGGUGGCACUGCCAGCCCUGCAGGGGAAGUGGGAAGGGCCUUUGCAGGUCUUGUGGGUCACAUUUACAGCAGUGGGAUGGAGCCUGGAAACUGCCCAGAGCUGAGCCCAGGGAUUGAAAGGGACCAACCAAGGGAGGUGAAGAAAGAAGGAAGAAGGGAAGUGAGGCAGCAGCCAAGCAGCACCAAGUUGCUGUGUAAGCAGGUGAGUUGUGUUGAGGUUCCUCAGGCAGGCACUGAGGACUUUGAGGGCUCCAGACAGAGAAGACCUGGGAAGGCCCUCGGUGAAGCCCCUCAGAGACCUUCUAAGGGUAGGUGUGUGUGGUGAUAAGUGUUGGGAUUGUCCUGAAUGUGGAACAGGAAUGCAGGGAAGCAAAAUGAACCCUCCUGUAAUGCUGCCAUAUCAGCUGCAGUGGAGACACCUGUGUGUGCCCUUUGGGAUCUGAUUGCCAGGACCCCCGUGGGGCUGGGAUCAUGGCAGGGUGUUGUAAGCAAGGAAUGCCUGGCUUGGAAAACUCACCAGCUGAGUCUCAGAGGCUUCUUUGAAGAGCUGAUUUCAGGCAGCAGAAUUGGCCCCCAGGAGGGACUCUGUGCCUGCUCUCCCAUGGCUCCAAGGGAUCUCUGGCCCUUCACGCCGGCACCGAGAUUUUCUCGGGAAGGGCCUCAGAUCCCCAGACCGGUCUGGGACGCAGGCAAGAUCCCCCUGCAUUUUGGGACCAAAUUGGGCCCCUGGAGGGACAGUGCUGUUGGUGCCCCCCGGGUUGGGGCACCCCGAGGACUCCAGCGCGCACCGAAAGGAUUAUUCGGGGAGAUCCUCGGGGUGCCCGGCCCUGGGGAGCUCAAAGCAAGGUCCCUGCCAUGGAUUCAGGCAUUGCUGAGAGUAUCCCAGGGGUCCCUGUCCCUGCUAGACAUGGAGCUCUCUAAUGGGCUGGAAUUGGGUGAUAAAAGUGGUGCUCCAAGUGCCAAAGAAGUGUGGGACUGGGAUUAAGAAAUGAGCAGUGAUGGUGCAAUUGGCUGUUUUCUCUUGAAUGUGACUGUGAGAGCUGCAGGAGUGCCAGGUGUGUGUUCCAGUCCCCAGCAUUUGGUUUGCACCUGUCCUGGUCAGACACAGGUCCAACUUGCUCAGUCCUUAACACAAGAGAGGGAGAAUUAAGGACUGGCACUGUUCAGGUGAUUGGUGUGACAGGGGUCAAACUGGGAAAACACUGGGGAAUUCCUCAGUUUGUCUGUUUGCCAAACUCACCCAAACCUGUGCUAGGAAGAGAGGGACUGGAAA